CUUAUACAUAGUAGUAUCCUGAGUACCGCGAGGUCGGAGACGCCUUGUGGGAAUCUGCCAGCACCAUCUGGUAAGGCUAAAUACUCCUCAAACACCGAUAGCGCACUAGUACUGUGAAGGAAAGGUGAAAAGAACCCCGAACAGGGGAGUGAAAUAGAACCUGAAACCGUAUGCUUACAAGCGGUCAGAGCCCUUUUGUGGGGUGAUGACGUGCCUUUUGCAUAAUGAUCCUACGAGUUACUUGUCACUGGCAAGGUUAAGGCUUGAAGAGCCGAAGCCGCAGCGAAAGCGAGUCUGAAUAGGGCGACAGUCAGUGGCAGUAGACGCGAAACCUUGUGAUCUACCCAUGAGCAGGAUGAAGUGACGGUAACACGUCAUGAGGUCGAACUGAUAAGCGUUGAAAAGCUUCCGGAUGACUUGUGGGUAGGGGUGAAAGGCUAAUCAAACUGGGAGAUAGCUCGUACUCCCCGAAAUGC
This 476-nucleotide ribosomal RNA is filed under the name uncultured bacterium. RNAcentral's name for it is "bacterial LSU rRNA". It matches the Rfam family "Bacterial large subunit ribosomal RNA", at positions 390 to 867 of the family's 2925-position model. The record is from RNAcentral.